Molecule: microRNA precursor, 98 nt
Filed under: Aotus nancymaae (Ma's night monkey)
Lineage: Eukaryota; Metazoa; Chordata; Mammalia; Primates; Aotidae
Description: miRNA (ENSANAG00000010657.1)
Source: RNAcentral
UGAGGCAGGAGAAUUGCUUGAACCCAGGAGGUGGAGGUUGCAGUGAGCCGAGAUCGUGCCACUGCACUCCAGUCUGGUGACAGAGCGAGACUCCAUCU